UACGGGGGGAGCAAGCGUUGUUCGGAUUUACUGGGCGUAAAGAGUUCGUAGGCGGUUUGUCGCGUCGUUUGUGAAAACUCACAGCUCAACUGUGAGCCUGCAGGCGAUACGGGCAGACUUGAGUACUGCAGGGGAGACUGGAAUUCCUGGUGUAGCGGUGAAAUGCGCAGAUAUCAGGAGGAACACCGGUGGCGAAGGCGGGUCUCUGGGCAGUAACUGACGCUGAGGAACGAAAGCGUGGGUAGCAACCAGG
RNAcentral lists this ribosomal RNA (253 nucleotides) under uncultured bacterium. Its description in RNAcentral is "partial 16S ribosomal RNA". It matches the Rfam family "Bacterial small subunit ribosomal RNA", at positions 524 to 776 of the family's 1533-position model. The record is from RNAcentral.